Molecule: ribosomal RNA, 253 nt
Filed under: uncultured bacterium
Lineage: Bacteria
Description: partial 16S ribosomal RNA
Rfam family: Bacterial small subunit ribosomal RNA
Source: RNAcentral
UACGUAGGGUGCAAGCGUUGUCCGGAAUUAUUGGGCGUAAAGAGCUCGUAGGCGGUUCGUCGCGUCGGCUGUGAAAUCCCGAGGCUCAACCUCGGGUCUGCAGUCGAUACGGGCGGACUGGAGUUCGGCAGGGGAGACUGGAAUUCCUGGUGUAGCGGCGAAAUGCGCAGAUAUCAGGAGGAACACCGGUGGCGAAGGCGGGUCUCUGGGCCGAUACUGACGCUGAGGAGCGAAAGCGUGGGGAGCGAACAGG